AGACUGGGAUAACCUGUCGAAAGACGAGCUAAUACCAGAUAAGACCACGGGGGCUUUGGCCUCUGUGGUAAAAGGUGGCCUCUGCUUGCAAGCUACUACUCGAAGAUGGGCCUGCGUGCCAUUAGCUAGUUGGUGGGGUAACGGCCCACCAAGGCAAAGAUGGCUAGCUGGUCUGAGAGGAUGGCCAGCCACACUGGGACUGAGACACGGCCCAG
This 215-nucleotide ribosomal RNA is filed under the name uncultured bacterium. Its description in RNAcentral is "partial 16S ribosomal RNA". It matches the Rfam family "Bacterial small subunit ribosomal RNA", at positions 135 to 334 of the family's 1533-position model. The record is from RNAcentral.